UUACACAUGCAGUCGAGGGGUAUAGUAGCAAUACUAGAGACCGGCGCACGGGUGCCCUUUGAGUAUGCAAUCUACCUUUUGCAGAGGGAUAGCCCCGUGAAAUUUGGAUUAAUACCUCAUAGUAUAGCAGUUUCGCAUGAAACCACUAUUAAAGUCACAACGGCAAAAGAUGAGCAUGCGUCCCAUUAGCUAGUUGGUAAGGUAACGGCUUACCAAGGCUACGAUGGGUAGGGGUCCUGAGAGGGAGAUCCCCCACACUGGUACUGAGACACGGACCAGACUCCUACGGGAGGCAGCAGUGAGGAAUAUUGGACAAUGGGCGCAAGCCUGAUCCAGCCAUGCCGCGUGCAGGAUGACGGUCCUAUGGAUUGUAAACUGCUUUUGUACAGGAAGAAACACUCCCUCGUGAGGGAGCUUGACGGUACUGUAAGAAUAAGGAUCGGCUAACUCCGUGCCAGCAGCCGCGGUAAUACGGAGGAUCCAAGCGUUAUCCGGAAUCAUUGGGUUUAAAGGGUCCGUAGGCGGCUUUAUAAGUCAGUGGUGAAAUCUCCCCGCUCAACGGGGAAACGGCCAUUGAUACUGUAAGGCUUGAAUUAUUAGGAAGUAACUAGAAUAUGUAGUGUAGCGGUGAAAUGCUUAGAGAUUACAUGGAAUACCAAUUGCGAAGGCAGGUUACUACUAAUGGAUUGACGCUGAUGGACGAAAGCGUGGGUAGCGAACAGGAUUAGAUACCCUGGUAGUCCACGCCGUAAACGAUGGAUACUAGCUGUUGGGCGCAAGCUCAGUGGCUAAGCGAAAGUGAUAAGUAUCCCACCUGGGGAGUACGUUCGCAAGAAUGAAACUCAAAGGAAUUGACGGGGGCCCGCACAAGCGGUGGAGCAUGUGGUUUAAUUCGAUGAUACGCGAGGAACCUUACCAAGGCUUAAAUGUAGAUUGACCGGUUUGGAAACA
This 951-nucleotide ribosomal RNA is filed under the name uncultured Flavobacteriaceae bacterium. Its description in RNAcentral is "bacterial SSU rRNA". It matches the Rfam family "Bacterial small subunit ribosomal RNA", at positions 49 to 1008 of the family's 1533-position model. Lineage: Bacteria; Pseudomonadati; Bacteroidota; Flavobacteriia; Flavobacteriales; Flavobacteriaceae. The record is from RNAcentral.